This 392-nucleotide long non-coding RNA is filed under the name Trifolium pratense (red clover). RNAcentral describes it as "long non-coding RNA (TPRA_LNC010332)". The record is from RNAcentral. Lineage: Eukaryota; Viridiplantae; Streptophyta; Magnoliopsida; Fabales; Fabaceae.
ACAGUCACUUUGGUCCCCGAAAGUGGCACUCGCUGUCAUAUUAGUCCCUGAAUCAUCAAAAAACAUUUAAAACUCCCUGAAUGUAACUUCCGUUAGUCAAAAUAGUCCCCGACGUCAAGUUUUAGCAAAGAACUGUUUGAUAGUGCUGACGUGGACAAUUUGUUGACUUUGUUGAUCAAUACGUGUCACUUUUCUUUAAAAUUUGAUGCCACGUAGGCAAGGACUAUAUUGAAGGAAAAAUUGAACAAAAAGGAAGAUGAACAUUGAGGACUAAAUUGACAAAGAAAAAAUCACCCCCAAAUAUAAAGUGGGAAUCCAAAAUCUUCUUCCUCUUCUGUUUCACCAAAAAAAAAAAUCUUCUUCCUCUUCUCAUGGCCAUGUUCUUCUUAUUC